UUCAAUCGUACUAAAUCCAAUAAAUUAAAUUCCAAGUAGAAUGAAGCAACAAUUCCAAUGAAGUUCACUUCGAAACUUAAAUAUCCAAGCACAGCUCUCCAAUAUCACCUUAAAAUCAAGCAAUACCCAAAUCAAUUAAUCAAUUUCAAAACUUACGCUAGCCAAGAACAAUACUACUAAAUCCACAAUUCCUCCUUACCAAUGAAAUCACAACAUAGCUUUGACGAUUGACAACAGAACAGAAUCAGCGACAAUCGAAUGAAACUGAUGCGUGCAAAACAGAUAUGCACUACAAUAAAGAUGGAUGUCUGACCCGCGACUGGAAAACGAGGAGUUGCGCAAUAGAUGAGGACUUCACGAUGCACAACUGUUGGAUGCUACACGGCUCGUAUCUGAACGAUAAGCGUCGGCAAAACAAUUGGGACGGGGCUACCGGUGGGGACCCG
RNAcentral lists this long non-coding RNA (446 nucleotides) under Cucumis sativus (cucumber). RNAcentral describes it as "long non-coding RNA (CSAT_LNC003124)". Lineage: Eukaryota; Viridiplantae; Streptophyta; Magnoliopsida; Cucurbitales; Cucurbitaceae. The record is from RNAcentral.